CAUGCAAGUUGAACGAAGCGCUUAAAUGGAUUUCUUCGGAUUGAAGUUUUUGUGACUGAGUGGCGGACGGGUGAGUAACGCGUGGGUAACCUGCCUCAUACAGGGGGAUAACAGUUAGAAAUGACUGCUAAUACCGCAUAAGCGCACAGUGCUGCAUGGCACAGUGUGAAAAACUCCGGUGGUAUGAGAUGGACCCGCGUCUGAUUAGCUAGUUGGUGGGGUAACGGCCUACCAAGGCGACGAUCAGUAGCCGGCCUGAGAGGGUGAACGGCCACAUUGGGACUGAGACACGGCCCAAACUCCUACGGGAGGCAGCAGUGGGGAAUAUUGCACAAUGGGGGAAACCCUGAUGCAGCGACGCCGCGUGAGCGAAGAAGUAUUUCGGUAUGUAAAGCUC
RNAcentral lists this ribosomal RNA (397 nucleotides) under uncultured bacterium. RNAcentral's name for it is "bacterial SSU rRNA". It matches the Rfam family "Bacterial small subunit ribosomal RNA", at positions 54 to 433 of the family's 1533-position model. The record is from RNAcentral.